This 253-nucleotide ribosomal RNA is filed under the name uncultured bacterium. RNAcentral describes it as "partial 16S ribosomal RNA". It matches the Rfam family "Bacterial small subunit ribosomal RNA", at positions 524 to 776 of the family's 1533-position model. The record is from RNAcentral.
UACGUAGGGACCAAGCGUUGUUCGGAUUUACUGGGCGUAAAGGGCGCGUAGGCGGCCUGCUAAGUCGAACGUGAAAUCCCUGGGCUCAACCCAGGAACUGCGUCCGAUACUGGUUGGCUUGAAUCCGGGAGAGGGAUGCGGAAUUCCAGGUGUAGCGGUGAAAUGCGUAGAUAUCAGGAGGAACACCGGUGGCGAAGGCGGGUCUCUGGGCCGAUACUGACGCUGAGGAGCGAAAGCGUGGGGAGCGAACAGG